This 77-nucleotide transfer RNA is filed under the name Chloroflexota bacterium. Its description in RNAcentral is "Chloroflexi bacterium tRNA-Pro". It matches the Rfam family "tRNA". From Rfam's summary of the family: Transfer RNA (tRNA) molecules are approximately 80 nucleotides in length. Their secondary structure includes four short double-helical elements and three loops (D, anti-codon, and T loops). Lineage: Bacteria; Bacillati; Chloroflexota. RNAcentral also lists the same sequence under 2 other names. The record is from RNAcentral.
CGGGGUGUAGCUCAGCCAGGUAGAGCGCGCGGUUUGGGGCCGCGAGGUCCCCGGUUCGAAUCCGGGCACCCCGACCA